UCCUGAUACAUCUUCGUUUUCUUUCCCUUUAUGUCUGCUGCAAAACAUGGAAGCUUUUAGUCAGUCUCUCAGCUGCUUCAGGGAUUUUUUUUUUUUUUUUUUUUUUUUGCUAAUCGAGCUGACCCAGUCUUGUUUCCAGGCACCUGGGCCUAAGACAAUUCAAUGGACGUGGCCAUUUAUGCUCAGAAUGCAGUGACAAGCCUCAUUUUACUCUUAGUUAUUUGGAACCAGUUUGCUAACUUAAAUGUGCCAUUUUACAUACUUUAGUGAUUUUUUUUUUCCCCUUUUUCUAUUCCUUUUCUAUGCAGUAGUUCAAAAAUUUACUUCAAACAACAAAUAUUACACAGGCCAAAAUAUUAAGUGUUGAGGAGCUUCCAGUCAGACCCAAACUUGCAGCUGCUGAUAGAAAGUGUGAAGCCAAUUUUUGAUACAGCUCUGCAUGCAGUUCGCAUGUGGGACAGGCAUAUAUGUGAAUGAAUUAUCACACAGAAGCCCUUUACAACCAAGCAAGCAGAUGUAUUCCAGAAGGGAACAGAUCCAUAAACAGAGAAAGCAAGUUUAUAGAGAAUAGUCCUUACCAAACAGAUCAGGUUGGGGUUUUUUUUAAUAGAAAAAAACUUUGGAGCUGUUUUUCAGAAGUUUGUGCAGCUGUUAGUUUAGUUGGAUAAAAGGAGGUUUUGGCUUUCAGUGUAAGGUAAAUAUUUUCAGGGAUCAAAGAGGUGGAAAAUGGGGGCAAGGGGGUGUGUAUGUUAAGAGCUCAGCUCUACUCAGCUCUGAGUGGGCUGUUAUCUAAACAGGUAUUGUGUCUAUGUUUGUGUCUACCACACAACUAAUACCCUACCGAUGAAUGAAAAUAUAUAUGAACUUACGUUUUGGAUGACGUGAAUAAAACAUAUCCAGAAAGCAAACCUUAGAAGUUUUUGUUUUCAUGGUCUCCUCUCUCCCUCAUGACUUCAAGAGAAAUGUUCAUCUGAUAGGAUAUGAUCUCUGUCAUCUACAGUGCAUGAUGGAAUCUCUUGAGUAAUGUUUUAAAAAAUAUUAGUGAAAGCAUGAAGACAACUGGAAAAAUUGCAAAGAGAAAGUGCCAAAACAAAUAAAGUGACUUUCUUUAGAGGAAUUCUGAAGCAAGGCUUCAAGUGCAAUUUAGGACAUCACAUAGAGGAAAGAAGAUACAGGACAGAAAAUCUUUCUUCUGGAGCUUGAAAUGAAAUUGUGAAUCAGCAAGCAAUCCAAAUUGGCUGUUGCAAUUGUCCUUGAAGCUCUCACAUUUACAGGGAGAAGGGUACAAAAUAAAAGACGGUGAAUUGAGGAAAAUUCAGACCAGGCUUCAGGAAACUGAUAAACAUACGAAAAAUAUCCAACUGUAGCCCUGAGUUACACAAGACCUAAGACAAGCCAGGUGUGGGGACAUUAGUGACAAUGAGAAAUAAGGGGCAACAGGGCUGUUGUUGCUCCUUUGGAACCCCACUCAAGGGCUGCAAGUGAGUGUGAGAUCAUCUCCUCGGCUGUUCCUCCCCAAGAGAGUAGAAGUCAUGGGGCUGAGUGGUCAAAGGAGAACCUCAAUCUUUUUCUCAACAGAGAUAAUUUUUCUCUGGCCUUUUUGUAUAAUGAAUCAAUUAUUUGAAUUAAUCAGUAACAUUCUGGAGUAUCACUGGACUGGCAAAAAUUUCUUUGAUUGACUUUCCUUUUGUUUUUCUCUUGACUGCUGUCCUUUUUUGUCUCUAGAAGGCUGUGUUGGGUUAAUCCUGCAAAGAGAUAGAGGCUGCAACAAAGUGCUGAGGAGCAUCAGUGAAAAUAAAUGAUGGGAAGUAAACUUUUCAGUGCAUUUUCCCUCUAUUCAGGACUUCUGGGAGGUGAGGUCCACCUCACUCCCAGCCUGGAGUGACUUCCUGUACUCUGCUUCCAUUGGUGUAAAACCAAUUACUCCUGGUUGCUUAUAUCUCUGCACAUUUGGUGCAAGAUAUAUUGGGUCCUGAGUAUUUUAAAUUCAGAACAGAAUAUUUUACAUGUCUGCAGUGAGAGAUUUUCAUUCAUCCAUAUAAUAGCUAUAUGCUUUGUCCAUAUAAAGAUAGUUUAUGAUUUUUACCAUUUGACAGUAUUGCCACUGGGCUAUGCAAUUCUUAAAAUUUAGUCCUUCCACAAUUCCAUAAAGCAGCAAUUAGCUAAAAAGGAAAAUAGUUAUUUGUGUUUAAGCAUAAAGAGGAAGAAAAUAUACCUGCCAAAAUUGAGUAUUUUUACUUCUGAGAAGUCGGAAGUUUAGAAGGGGUGUUCUGGUCUUGAGGUUUAAAAUCUAAAAUAUUGGGAAAGCAUAAAAAUAUUAUUUUGACAAAAUAGUCUGCCUUUCCUAUUUUCUCCCAACUAUGUAUUUUUACCUAUUUUUUAACUGAAAUCUUAAUUAUGAAACUCAUUCUAUCUAACAAUAGUUUUAGCAAGUAGGUCAGUCCUUUUUCACAUUUUAUUGCUUUCUACCAUAUUCUAGGCAAUUGUGUAGAUAUUUUAGUAUGUCCAACUGGAGAUAAAUUAUCCUAGAGGACAUUCAUGGUUGUUUUGGGGUAUGCACUGGAGCCAAAGCAGCAUUGCUAUGGAAAAUCAUCGUGAUGCCUCAAACUAGUAAGUCUCCAUAGCAACUUAAAAAAAUAAUGACAGCUGUACCAAGAAAUUUGCUAAUAGAAGCCCUUAACACAUUUGUCUAGACUCAGUCAUACUUCAUACUCAUUAUAACCAGUAGACGGAUUGUAAGACAAUAAAACAGAGAAAAAUAAACAGGGAAUAUCUGCUUUUCCUGGUAUUUCCCACUGACUUCAGUUAAGUUAUCUGACCUUGUCUGUGGCCAAUACAACCACAAUGUAAGAAUAUUUAAUAACAGAUUAAUUGCAAAAUAUUUGAUUCUAAUAUGUACAGCAUUUCAUUUAUUAUAUGCGAUAUAUAAAGUGGAAAUUUCUCAUUAAUUAGCAUAAAGAUAGGUGUUCUGAAAACAAAUAGGAAAAUUCCCAUACUGGUAAUGUUAAAAUUAUUGGCUGUAACAAUCUAUGUUGAAAAGAUUGAAUGAAAAAUGCAGCAGUAUGAGAGACAUCCUGUUCUAAAAUGGCCUCGCUCAAGUUCAGAUUACAGGCCACUGAUAUAUAGAGAAGGAUUCUGUACAAUCAAAUCACAAGAGAGAUUGCUAGCUGUGGCCUGCUGGAAAUGUGCAAACACACUAGAGAAUAAGACAAUUAGCUGUGCAACUGUUGAGCUACAAUAUAUAGCAAGAACAAAAAUUUUUAUGGGUUGGUAUCAGUUCAAAAGAGAUGUGAAAAAUCAGGUUGCUGUUUUUAAGGCACCCUUUGAAUUUUCUAUAUAAACAAAAAUUGUAUCUAAUGGAGCAGAACUCUAUAUAAGACCUUAAAAAAUAAAGAGUUAAUCACAGAACUGAAAAAAAUAGUUGAAACUGAUUUUAUCUGAUUACAUUUUUAUUGUGAGUUAUGCCAAGAAUACAUGUUCUCGGGGGUUGAAAAGGACAAUUUAAUAAAGCUGAAAAUAAUUUUGAGACAAUCAACUGAAGAAAAUGUAAACAGAAAGAUGAGAAAGAUAAUUGUCCAUUGUUGAAUAACAUUUUACUAGAUUCCGAAAUUGCAUUUUCAGAAUGAUGUUGUUGCAGUGAUUUAAAGAAAGAACAGUACGGGUCAAAGUAAAAUGAAAAGCAUCUCUAAAUCAUAGUGAAACACAGAAAAAGAAAGCUAGAACAGUCAUAAUAACAAUUGUCUUGGAUUUUAGAAAGUAGAUAGUGGAAGCAAAAUGUUAAAGACAAAAAUCUAUGGUUAGCAGAUCUAAAAAGGAAAAGGUAGAGAAAGGAGUUCCCGGCUCUACUGGGAAUCCUGAUAAUAUUGUUGUUCUGUGGCUGUAUGAUGAUAGCAGAAUUCAUGAAAAGCAGAAUCUCAGUCACUUGGUGUCUGCAUUUGGGGAAAGCCAGAUGGUAGUUAUAUGACAUGAUGAUGCAGUCCUUUUAAUUUUAACCAGUUACACAGCAGUUUGUUUAAUUUAGACAUUUAAAGUUUGUAUGUGUACUUAACUUGCAUCUGAUAGUUUUAAAAGAACUAGCAAAAGACCCCCAUGGGCAUUUUAUUUUGGUGAUUACAGUAUUGAAACAUGGGAAUUUUCAAGUUGGGAAAAAUCUAAUGUGUGCCAAUAUUUAAAGAUGAUAACAGAACUAACUCAGGAAAUUAGAGGCCUAUCAAGUUGAGAUUGCUCAAACACAAUUAAUGUCCAUCAACAUUAGCUUCACAAAAAUAAUUUUUGUCAGACUAAUUUGAUCCCAUCCUUUGAUGAGAUUACAAGUUCUUUUCAAUCAAGAUAAUAUUGUUGAUGUAAUAAACUUUUUGAAAGGACAUGCAUUCACAGCAGAAGACAUUUUGUUAAGAAAAUAAAGCAAUAGAAAACCCACCUAACAUCUAUGAAUUUAAUUAAAAAUAAAUAGGUCCUAUAACCGUAAAUGAAGAACCAUCAUAGUGAGAAUUUGUGAGAUUCAUCCCCCCACACAUUAUCUUUCUUAAUGAGACAAGAAAACAUGACAUUUUGUUGAUGAAGUUUUCCUAUACCACUAAAACUGGUAGAGGAUUAAAUGAUAAAUAAGGCUGGUGAAUGACAGAGAGCAAUCUGAAUUUCUUUACAAAAUGGAACAAGUUAUUUUUUUGGAAGUCUGUGCAGAGAGAACAGUGUGAGCUACACUUGUUGGAUGGAAAAGACUCCAUGCUGGGAAAUAGGGACUGAAAAGGAUUUGAUUUUAUGAUGGAUAAUCAGAUACACGUGGGCUCCAGCGGUGCGCCACGGCCAAAGUGCUAAAAUGAUCAUUGGCAUAUAAUGAGGAGAAUAUGAAUAAAAGCAGGGAGCUUGCAUUAUUCAGGCAAAGAUUUACUGUGAGGGAAAAGGGAAAGUGCUACACAGACAGUAGCUCCUUGGCAAGGUCUGGCCUGGUGCUUCGUGCCUUUGAUAGAGGAGAAAGUGGGGCACUGCACAACUCCUCCCUUGUGCCUGUGCUGGGGUUCAGCAGCCAGCCACCAUGCUUCAUCCCUGCUGACCUUACCCUGUAGGAAAACAUUUUGGUCUUCUUCCUUGUGUUUUUUUUUUUUUUUUUUUUUUUUUUUUUUUUUUUUUUGUUUUUUUUGUUUUUUUUUUUGUUUGUUUGUUUGUUUGGUUGGUUGGUUGGUUUUUUAACAUUCUUAUUUAUUUGGUUUUCUUUAAAAAGAAGGGUUUGAUAGGAACUCUGGAUGAGCUUAAAGGACUGCAAAAAUAUGCUGAAAAUGAGGGACUAAAUUUCAAACUCUUGAUCUACUAAAGAAUGGAAAAAUGGUACAAAGGCAUUCUUAAUUUCUCUGGAAAAGAUUAGCAAAAUCCAUUGCCUGGAAUUAGAGAAAUUUAAGCUUAAAGUAACUUACCACAGAGAAGCGAAUUGACCACAGGAAGAACUUACUGAGGCCUGCAGUGGACUUUCUCUGAACAGAAAAUUCGAAACCAUGAUCAGUUUUCAGUCUAGCUUAGCUGCAUUAUCAGUCUUGAUACAGAAAUUCACUUAGAGGAGUCCUGUAGAUGUGUAAUGAAAGAAGUCACAUUAAAUAAUCAAUAGAUCCCUUCUAAUAUUAAUAUAUUUUAGUCAAAAAUACAAAAUGCUCAUGUUGUUCUGUUGAGAUGAUCUGCAACAAGGUCUUAGUGAUGUUCUUUAAAAAUGUGCUUCGCAAAAAAUUUUAAUUUGUAAGCCAAAUAUCAGGCAUAUAAGCUGUGAAAUGUUCAAAUUCUUUGCUAUGGAAUAAAAGAUUGAUUUUUCUGGUUGAUGUAAAAAACAGAAAUUCACCUAGAUUACAAAAUCUAGUCUUUCAUCUCCAAUUAAGCAUGUUCAGAAUUGCUUAUUUCUGUCUGUGUAGGAAAGGGAAAGCAUAAUGCACUGCAGCUGUAGAGAUUAACUCUGGAAGUCAGGAGGCUCUGUCCUCCUGUGGGAAUACAACUGACAGCCCAGCCUGCCUGUGGGCCACCCUUGUCCCCUUGCAUGGGGUCAUGCAGGAGAUGUGCUGGAGCUGGGCUGGGGGACAAGGAAAGGAGGUGAUGGAGGGGCUGGAGUAAGGGCAUAGAUAGAGACUCCUGCCACUACUAUGAUAGAAAAUAUUCUUCUUUAUGCUUUCAGAUGGGUUUAUUUGCUCAACAUUUUUUGUUUGUUUGUUCGUUUUGUUCAGUUCUAGUUAAAAGUACGUAUUAAGCCAUUUGUUUCUCCUUUCUCAUUGCACCUGCUGGCACCUGUUUCACCUUGUUAUACCUGCUGGCAUAAUGUCACUUGCCACUGAGUCAUAGCUCUUAGAGCUAAUUCAGCCAUCCAUUCCUCUGCUACCCUGCCCUUUCUGCUUGGAGUGAUUCAGAGCCUGGUCUUCACAUGCAGCCUUUACCAAGAAGUUAACAUAAAAAGGAAGAAAAAACCUCGCACCAAUAAACCCUACUGCUUGCAUGGUUGGUCAUUUGGCCCAUGUUACAGGCAUGCUAUCUGCACUAUCAGUGAAAUGAAAAAAACAGUGCCUUUUUGUAUGUCAUUUGCUGCCAAAAAAAUUCCAAGAUGAUCUGUACAGUUUGUGAACACCACCUCUGCUAAAAGAAAGAAAAGCUGAACUGAUGGGAGAACAGCAUGGAGUGGAUUUCGGGGCUGGGGAGAGGUUCCAUGGUCCUUGGGAGAGAGCACUGCUUCAGGUUGCCCCUAGAAAGACCAAACAUCCCAAAAGACAAGCAUUCUGUAGAGGUAAACAGAGAAGGGCAGGCUUCCUAUGGCUUCUUCAGCCAUUUGAUAUCCUUCACAGCAACCUGAAGAGCCAGGUCCCUUCAGAGGUUGCCUCUGAAAACGUACCAUAUCUUUGCUUAAUUCUCUAGGUUUUAAUUUUUUUCCCUUUUUUUCUUUUUAAAUGUUAGUACCCACCAGUUCUCUGAAAUAUGUGUAGAGUUCUUUUGGGUUACACUCUGCCUCAGAUAAAUGUCUUUAAAGGUGCAGCCUCAGCAUUACUUUGCUUAUAUGUAUACUUGAGUGUGUGUAUGUACUAUCUACAUCUGGAAUGAGGGGCUGUAUUAAAAAUAAAAUAAUUAUAAAAAUAAAAUGAAAUGGCCUCACAUGGAAAGCAUUUGGAAAGGAAAAUACCGGAGUAAAAAUGGAAAAAUAAGUACGUGUCAGGCCAGCUGCAGGUUAGGAGCAGCUCUGUGGGAAGCCAAUGGGAUUUGCUGGUGCCCUUCAUGGGAAGGCAGAGACGAAGCAAGUACAGCUGCCCUGCAGCACUCCAGUGACCAGGGCUUUAGUCAUGUUGCAGGAGGACUUUCAGCUGUAACCUUGCUGGCCUCAGGAGUAUUUCUCAGAAGCUAAAGAGGUCAGCUUCAGCAAGACUGUGCCCAUAGAUAGUAAUGACUAAAAGGGAGAUCCCUGUGGCAAGCAGCAGGAAGCUUUUGAAGGUGCUUGUGCCAGCAGAUAUCUGAGGCAUGGGGCAUAAGAAAGGGAAGUUCCCCUAACAGCCAAAUACAUAUGUUAAAGCCUUCUCAAUUUAUUUGUGCACAAAGGGUAAAGAGACCCUAGGCUGCAAACAAAGACAUCAUACACCGAGUUAUUUGUCAGCCUCUAAAUUAAGAAAGGAUUUUAAUACCUUCCUUUAAGGGAUUUACUCACGUGAUUGAAGUUAGGCAUGAUUUUAGGAGCCCCAGAAAAUCAGUCACCUGAUAAACUCUCUGCUUCAGGUUAAAAUAUAUUACAUUUAAAAAGCAUGUUCCUUAAAAAACAACACAAAGAAGAGAUAUUAUAGCAACAAAAAUUUUUCUUAAAAAUUAUUAAAUUAUUUGGUCCUUUAAUAAUUGAAAAGGCUUCAUUACCAUGCAAACAAAUAACAGGUUGGCUAUUCACCUUUUGGAAGAUGGCAUUUGCAUUCCUAUAAUAGGAGAGAAGAACCUUAGAAAACUAAUGAAGGAGCAUAAAAAUGCAAAUUACUGCAGCUAAUUGGCUGUGCCUUCUUAUACCUUCUGAAUUAUUAAUUUAUGACCGAAUAAAUCUGCCCCUUUUAAAUAAAAUAAUAAAGAACAACAUUGUGCUUUA
Long non-coding RNA from Pseudopipra pipra, 8077 nucleotides. RefSeq lists it as uncharacterized. The record is from RefSeq and is a predicted model, not a curated record. Lineage: Eukaryota; Metazoa; Chordata; Aves; Passeriformes; Pipridae. The transcript is spliced from 4 exons.